AUUUAUAUAGUUUAAUAAAACAUUACAUUUUCAUUGUAAAAAUAAACCAAAAAUUUUAUAAAUA
Molecule: transfer RNA, 64 nt
Filed under: Cryptocercus convexus
Lineage: Eukaryota; Metazoa; Arthropoda; Insecta; Blattodea; Cryptocercidae
Also listed under: 1 other name
Description: tRNA-Glu
Source: RNAcentral